This 253-nucleotide ribosomal RNA is filed under the name uncultured bacterium. Its description in RNAcentral is "partial 16S ribosomal RNA". It matches the Rfam family "Bacterial small subunit ribosomal RNA", at positions 524 to 776 of the family's 1533-position model. The record is from RNAcentral.
UACGGAGGGUGCAAGCGUUAUCCGGAUUCACUGGGUUUAAAGGGUGCGUAGGCGGGCAGGUAAGUCAGUGGUGAAAUCCCUGAGCUCAACUUGGGAAUUGCCGUUGAUACUAUCUGUCUUGAAUAUCGUGGAGGUGAGCGGAAUAUGUCAUGUAGCGGUGAAAUGCUUAGAUAUGACAUAGAACACCCAUUGCGAAGGCAGCUCACUACACGAUAAUUGACGCUGAGGCACGAAAGCGUGGGGAGCAAACAGG